RNAcentral lists this ribosomal RNA (497 nucleotides) under uncultured bacterium. Its description in RNAcentral is "partial 16S ribosomal RNA". It matches the Rfam family "Bacterial small subunit ribosomal RNA", at positions 28 to 507 of the family's 1533-position model. The record is from RNAcentral.
GAUGAACGCUGGCGGCGUGCCUAAUACAUGCAAGUCGAGCGAACAGACGAGGAGCUUGCUCCUCUGACGUUAGCGGCGGACGGGUGAGUAACACGUGGAUAACCUACCUAUAAGACUGGGAUAACUUCGGGAAACCGGAUCUAAUACCGGAUAACAUGUUGAACCGCAUGGUUCAACAGUGAAAGACGGUCUUGCUGUCACUUAUAGAUGGAUCCGCGCCGCAUUAGCUAGUUGGUAAGGUAACGGCUUACCAAGGCAACGAUGCGUAGCCGACCUGAGAGGGUGAUCGGGCACACUGGCACUGAGACACGGUCCAGACUCCUACGGGAGGCAGCAGUAGGGAAUCUUCCGCAAUGGGCGAAAGCCUGACGGAGCAACGCCGCGUGGGUGAAGAAGGUCUUCGGAUCGUAAAACUCUGUUAUUAGGGAAGAACAAAUGUGUAAGUAACUAUGCACGUCUUGACGGUACCUAAUCAGAAAGCCACGGCUAACUACGUG